UGGGGAAUUUUGGACAAUGGGCGAAAGCCUGAUCCAGCAAUGCCGCGUGUGUGAAGAAGGCCUUCGGGUUGUAAAGCACUUUUGUCCGGAAAGAAAUCCUUGGCUCUAAUACAGUCGGGGGAUGACGGUACCGGAAGAAUAAGCACCGGCUAACUACGUGCCAGCAGCCGCGGUAAUACGUAGGGUGCAAGCGUUAAUCGGAAUUACUGGGCGUAAAGCGUGCGCAGGCGGUUUGCUAAGACCGAUGUGAAAUCCCCGGGCUCAACCUGGGAACUGCAUUGGUGACUGGCAGGCUAGAGUAUGGCAGAGGGGGGUUAGAAUUCCACGUGUAGCAGUGAAAUGCGUAGAGAUGUGGAGGAAUACCGAUGGCGAAGGCAGCCCCCUGGGCCAAUACUGACGCUCAUGCACGAAAGCGUGGGGAGCAAACAGGAUUAGAUACCCUGGUAGUCCACGCCCUAAACGAUGUCAACUAGUUGUUGGGGAUUCAUUCCUUAGUAACGUAGCUAACGCGUGAAGUUGACCGCCUGGGGAGUACGGUCGCAAGAUUAAAACUUAAAUGAAUUGAC
RNAcentral lists this ribosomal RNA (566 nucleotides) under uncultured bacterium. RNAcentral describes it as "partial 16S ribosomal RNA". It matches the Rfam family "Bacterial small subunit ribosomal RNA", at positions 355 to 914 of the family's 1533-position model. The record is from RNAcentral.